CCCAGCACAAUCCAAAUAUUUGGGUAGCGUGAUAUUCACUUGCAGGUGAAGAAGAUGAGCUUAGGUGUUUUUGUAUUUUUCAACUGCGUUCGUUUAUUUUGAAAUGAAUCCUGGCGACCGUGACGUCAUCUGACUGCGCGGUGUGACUGUCGCGAACUUGACGCAGCAACAUCAACUCCAAACGGCGUCAGUGACAGUUGGGCUUUUCGUUGCUCAGGUAAGUGGUCGUCAAGCUGUCGACGGUUUCGACACUAUUUAUCUUACUUCCAUAUGUUUAUUACUUUUAUGCGGGUGUAGUGUAGCCGGCCUGGCUGGGGCGGACGAGGCGUUUCUGUCACAUGAGGAGGAGGAGGAGGAGGAGAAAGGGGGCUUAAAAAACAGAAAUAGGCUUUUUUGACAGCUAGCUUCUAGCUAGCCUGGUCAGGUAAGGUCGAGUGAUACGGCGGUGUUUCCCGAGGCGUCGUGCCGCUGUCACGGGAUGAGCGAGGCUGUUUGCGGCUUAUUUGUAGCGCACACAGUGGAAAUAGACAUUAUUAAUAGUGUGUGUUUUACCGUGUAGUCAAACCACAACCGCCUCAGUCCGUCUGAGCCAGCAGGGCAGCUCAGGGUGCAUAAGGAGUAACGUUACUGGAGCGCCGCUGGGAAAACCUCCCAGGAAAGCUGAAAGAAAGUGGAAACCCAGGCCCAGCUGCUUCGAGUCCUCUCCGGGACACACAGCCCUCUGACAUGGAAUAAUUUUUGCCUCCAUCCAGCCGUCCGUGGAAAGGGGAUCUCUCUUUGAAUUGCCUUUCCCAAGGUUUCUUCCCAUCUUCCAUGGGGAGUUUUUUCUCGUCUUCAUAGAGAACUUGGGCUGGAUCAAGACCUCCUCAAAAAUCAAGCUUCAUUAUAAGAAAUAACACAUCAUUAUAGAUUAUUUCCAGAUUCCAUUUAGAGUUACAUCCUGGUUAAUAAGUUAUUUACACAAAACCAAGUUGAGCUGCACAUUUUAGACGACAUUUUACGUUUAUUAUAUAACGUAUUAAAGAGCUACUUUACACAUUGAGAUUAAUAAUUCAAAAUAUGACCAAAAAAUAAGUUCUCUUGUAUUAUUAGAUGCUUUUUUCGCCCCUAGUGGAAAUUCACAAGAUGUAAAAUAAAUAUAAAUUAAAACCAGCCUCGUCUUUACCAGGUGCAAAAUUAAAGUUAUUUACAUGUUAAUGCAUUAAAAAGUGUAAUCCUGUUAUAUAAAAUACACUUUUACAAGAUAGUUAAAUUAGAAAAUGCAUGAUUGCAAGAUUAAAAGCCCAAUGUACUGAUUUAGAUAAACCUUUUAAGUUGCAAACAUUUUUUAUGUUUAUAUUGUUUUGACAUAAUAAUGUUUCACUAACUUAAUAUUGUGAAUUAUUUAAAAUCUGAUUUUUUUGCUUUAGUCGAUUUAAAACAAUUCAAAUUGAACAGUGUAGCCAUCCCAUAAUAGACCACUUUAGAAGACAUUGAAAGUAUUUGAGUUUACAAGAAGUCUUAGAAUGUUGAAUAUAAUCACUUUUAUUGCACUUUGAGUUUGUAGAAAUCUGUGAAUGUAGUAGAAAGAUGAACAAUGCACAGAUAAAUACAAACAAAACAUCAACAUUUUUGUUUAAGUGAUUAAAUCUCCAAAAGAUCUUUUAAAUUCUCCCAAGUAAAAGCUUUUUACUUCUCCUCACCACCUGCACAGGACGCUGCUGCUCAUUCACUGGAGAUUUAGAAACAUGUAAUUUUUUAUUUUUUAAAAAUGCAUAAAAGUUGUGUUGGUGCAUGAACUGAGGCUGCUGACUGACCUUAUAUUGCACAAUGUUCAAUGUCUUUAAAUAUUUUCACAGUAAGGAUUCAUCUGUCGAUCUAUCUAUACCUGAAACCUCAUCCUCUGUAUAUAGUCUUCUACAUGUUUGUUUUUUUUUUUUUUUUAAGAAUAAAAUCAUCUGUAUAUAAUGCUAUGGGCAAUUUUUGCACCGUUUUUUUCUUAUUUAUUCUUGCACUGCCUUUAUACUCUUAUACUUUCUCCUUUCCUAAGGAAGAAGUUUCGGUUAUUUCCCCAGUUAUGUUUGAAAUGUAACAUUACUUCUUCAGCUCAGUGCAUCAGUGAUCAUAUUGGUUUAGUGGUUGGAAGUCAAUAAAACAUUAGCGUUAGUCAAAUUGAAUGCGUCAGUGGAUGGAAGUGGUGGUUGCCUUGUGCUGCUCUUCACUUCACUGCAGCUCCAUGGCUCCAUCUGCUGGACGGACAGAAGUGCAGCAGCUGAUGGCAGCUUCUUUGACCUCACGCUGCUGUCAGACCCACAGAUUAGGGUUUAUUUCAGAUAUAUAUAAUAGAAAAUAGUAAUUAAAAAAUAAGCUGAUGUUGUAUUUUUGCAGCAGUGGGUUUUACAGGGUUAAGAGCAACCAGUCAAAGGUUAUUACUGAGG
Molecule: long non-coding RNA, 2417 nt
Organism: Amphiprion ocellaris (clown anemonefish)
Lineage: Eukaryota; Metazoa; Chordata; Actinopteri; Pomacentridae
Source: Ensembl